UACGGGAGGCAGCAGUGAGGAAUAUUGCGCAAUGGAGGAAACUCUGACGCAGCGACGCCGCGUGAAGGAAGAAGGUCUUCGGAUUGUAAACUUCUGUCUUCAGGGAAGAAACAAAUGACGGUACCUGGGGAGGAAGCCCCGGCUAACUACGUGCCAGCAGCCGCGGUAAU
Molecule: ribosomal RNA, 170 nt
Filed under: uncultured rumen bacterium
Lineage: Bacteria
Description: partial 16S ribosomal RNA
Rfam family: Bacterial small subunit ribosomal RNA
Source: RNAcentral